AAAGUUUUUCAAAAGUUUAAUGGAGCCAAUAUAUAAAUUGUGUUCUGGCAGACGUGAAGACCUGCUUUCUCUUACCAAAGAAAAUGGCACAUGUUUUAUCAAAAUUUGACAAUCCAGAGUAAAGGGUACUGAGAUUCAGAGCACCAACUAAAACAAAAACCACCAAAAAAAUUUUUUGUCACUAACUUGGAGAGAGGAACUACAACCAAGGCAUAAAUGGGAGAUUAAAUAUGUGUUCCUCAGCCUCAAAAACCUUUAGGAAGGAGUUCUGACCUCUUGUGAGCAACGCUUCACACCGUCAAACCCAAUUCCAGAAUCUAAAUUUACAAAGAUAGAAAACAAAGAUAACUCCAAAUGCAUUUCUUGGUAUAUUCCAAAAGGAAGUGUAAAGUAUUGAGAAUACACAGGCUUGUCCAUUUCUGGUAUAAUGAUAAACUGUUAUAAUUCUUCCUAUCAUAUUAAAAAAAAAUCCUUUUUUGCAAAAAUUUAGAAAUGCCUUUCAUUCCUAGGUUUAGCAUGGAACUGACUUUCUUUAAAUAAGGGCUGUAUCUAUAGUGAAUAUAGAACUCCAGUUCACACAUUUCCAUUCACAUCCCACCUGUCAAUGAAUAUUAUGGUGAACUUAGCAAAAUUUCUUCAACGAUUAUUAAAUGGCUGGAGAAAAUUGCAAACAUUAACAAAGUGCUGUGAGUAAUUACUGGAAAAACCCAUAUACUGAUUUGCAAUAGUCUUUAAAGGAUAAAAAACAGGAAGUAACUGAUACUGAACUAUAAGUUUGCAAGGAAACAUUGUCACUGUCCUACUUGAG
This 808-nucleotide long non-coding RNA is filed under the name Bos taurus (domestic cattle). RNAcentral describes it as "long non-coding RNA NONBTAT015481". The record is from RNAcentral. Lineage: Eukaryota; Metazoa; Chordata; Mammalia; Artiodactyla; Bovidae.